GACGUAGGGGGCAAGCGUUGUCCGGAAUCAUUGGGCGUAAAGCGCUCGUAGGCGGACCUUUAAGUCGGUGAAGAAAGACCUGGGCUCAACUCAGGGAACGGCAUCGAUACUAUUGGUCUUGAGGUAAUUAGAGGAUGAUGGAAUUCCCGGUGUAGCGGUGAAAUGCGUAGAUAUCUGGAGGAACACCGGUGGCGAAGGCGGCAUCCUGGACCGGCAUUGACGCUGAGGCGCGAAAGCUAGGGGAGCAAACGGG
Molecule: ribosomal RNA, 253 nt
Filed under: uncultured bacterium
Lineage: Bacteria
Description: partial 16S ribosomal RNA
Rfam family: Bacterial small subunit ribosomal RNA
Source: RNAcentral